This 499-nucleotide ribosomal RNA is filed under the name uncultured Glomeromycotina. RNAcentral describes it as "partial small subunit ribosomal RNA". It matches the Rfam family "Eukaryotic small subunit ribosomal RNA", at positions 591 to 1092 of the family's 1831-position model. Lineage: Eukaryota; Fungi; Glomeromycota. The record is from RNAcentral.
CCAAUAGCGUAUAUUAAAGUUGCUGCAGUUAAAAAGCUCGUAGUUGAAUUUCGGGACCAUCAUGUCGGUCGUGCUUAGGUACGUACUGGCAUUGUUGGUUUCUCCCUUCUGACGAACCAUGAUGUCAUUUAUUUGGUGUUGUGGGGAAUCAGGACUGUUACUUUGAAAAAAUUAGAGUGUUUAAAGCAGGCUCACGCUUGAAUACAUUAGCAUGGAAUAAUGAAAUAGGACGUUUGAUUCUAUUUUGUUGGUUUCUAGGAUCGACGUAAUGAUUAAUAGGGAUAGUUGGGGGCAUUAGUAUUCAAUUGUCAGAGGUGAAAUUCUUGGAUUUAUUGAAGAUUAACUACUGCGAAAGCAUUUGCCAAGGAUGUUUUCAUUAAUCAAGAACGAAAGUUAGGGGAUCGAAGACGAUCAGAUACCGUCGUAGUCUUAACCAUAAACUAUGCCGACUAGGGAUCGGAUGAUGUUAAUUUUUUAAUGACUCAUUCGGCGCCUUACG